Molecule: long non-coding RNA, 3284 nt
Organism: Cucumis sativus (cucumber)
Lineage: Eukaryota; Viridiplantae; Streptophyta; Magnoliopsida; Cucurbitales; Cucurbitaceae
Exons: 2
Source: RefSeq, a predicted model, not a curated record
UUAAUAAUACCAAUCCAUGUACUGUCUUAUCUUUUAAUGUAUAGUUUAAAAUGAUCAUUUCAGAUUAGGGGAGUGGUUGUCAUUCACAGUUAAACGCUAGCUAGGGAGUUGGAAAAAUGGAUGUGCCAAUUGCAAAGUUCUUUGAUGCCUUCUGAGGCACGUAAAACACCAAUGCUUGGAAUCUAUCCCACUUCUGGGUUGUCCUAAAGGAUAAACAAUUUGCACUCUUAAAGCCAUUUGUAAUAGUCUAAUAGAUGUAAGGUGAGCUGAGGAAAGGGUAUGUCCCUAGGGAGUGUGAUGGCAAGAGGUAAAUUUUGUGGCAAGUUAUCCAUCUCAAAUAAGGAUUUUGAAGCUAUUUUCUUCCUACUUUGAAAGAAGUGAUUUUAGCCUUGGGCAUGUCGAUUGAACCUGGAUAUGGAAUUCCAAAUUUCCAACUUCCAAGGAGUUGCAAGUUAUACAUGGCCAUGUUUGCUGGUUAUCGUAGAAUGGGAAACCUGAAAGACCAGGAAUUGGCAUAUGGUCUUUUCAUUGAUGGAUAUAUGCCAAACUUUUGGAAGGUCUGCCUAGCGUUAAAAUCAGCUAAGACCACUAGGUUAACCUAUGGCAAUGGUAAUGAUAACAAUAAGUAUUAUGUAGAUUGGACUCAAUAUUGUUGUUUCACCUUCUCUCUUAUUAAAAAAAAUUAUGGCAAAAAACUGUGCUUUUCCUUAGAGAAAUGAAAUAAUGUACAAGAUUAAAAUAUCAGUCACAAAGAAAGGGACUCUAUUCAGGGAGAUUAUGAGAAACUAAAAAAAGGGACUCUAUUCCAACGAGAUCAAACUAGGACUACAGUUACAAAGAGGCAUAGUGAUUGACACCUACAUAGGAGACAAUCAUUAAAUCUUGCCUUCUCCCAAACCUUGUUACAUUGCCUCUCCAUGACUCUGCCUCUCCAAAAAUUAUAUCGUCCUCUCGAGUUGAGAUUCCCACAAAAUAGCUUGUCACCUAAAAUUGCCCUUCUCUUGAAACUCAGGCCCCUCCAUCCAAAAAGAAAUGUGAUUCAGAUUUUGACUCUUCUUUUAGUGUAAGCAGCGAGGAAGAUGAUCAUUUGGGGAAGCUAAAUGAGUUAGAGGAUCAUUCUUUGAAGGACUCCUUCGAAACCGAUCUCUAUGAUUUGUUUAAGCAUGAAGAGGAUUUGAAUACUAGAAAACAGAUCUCUGGAAACCUGUCUUAGUCUCAGCAUUACGAACUGUCAGCGGCCCAUUUAAAGUUGCUAGUAGAUGAAUGCCAACAAGUUUUCAUUUGAGAUCUGAUUUUAGUCUCUUUUUGGUUCAAUAAUAGGUUACAAUGGAGUAUGUGUAGCGAAACUUGUGUGGUUUGAAGGUUGCAGAUAAAGAGAUUGGGAUUCAAGUCUCUUGAAACACCUAAUUCAGAACUAGUACUUUCCCUAGAUUCAAUGAAGAAGCUAGGCUCAAGAAAUGUUUCCAACCGAUUGAACAAUUAUUAUUUUUUAGCAGUUUUGUGGUUUCAUCUUAGUGAAAGAUUUAGCAAGGCUGGUUAUUGUGGGAUUAUCAGUUGAUAUGCUGGCUUCUGAUUUUGAGUAUGGAAGAACGAUACGCAUCGUAGGAUGAAGCUAUGAGUUCUGUGCAAGAUGGAAAUGUUGAGAUGGGAGGGCUUGUUCAACCCCCGAGGAGACAGCCGUGGAUCUUUUGUCAUCCCAAGGAAAGAAUGACUCAGAAGAGCUAGAAGAUGUGGAGAUUGGAAUUACUAUAACUAAAGAAGAAAGAAAAGAUGAGAGAAAUUUCCAGUGGUAAGAAUUUGGAGAAGUUGGAUGGCAUACGGAAGAAGAAUUCUGUUUGACGAAUUGUAGCUUUGAUGGGCUUUUUCUGUAAUACACGUGGAGUUUUUAUUGGUGAGAUGAAAGAUUUCUUGGUGCUUUCCUUUCCCUUCAUUUUUGAAGAUCAAGCUUGAAGCAGCACAACUGGUUGCCCUUUCUUGGUGCUUUCCUUUCCAUUCAUUUUUGAAGCAGUUUGUGAUCAAGAUCUCAGCUGAUUUGGGUCUCCAUGUUGAAAAAGCUUUCAGCUUGCUUUGUAUUUGGUUCUUGUUUUGCUCGGGUUUUAGAGGCUCUUGUCCAGCUGUUGCAAUUUUAUUAUGUUCUGUCUUGUCUAUGUUCGUUUAGUCCUUUUUGCCCUUGGUACAUUUCUCUUGUACUUUGAGCAUUAGUCUCUUUUAUUAAUAUUAAUAAAGAGGCUUGUUUUCAUUUUAAAAAAAGAAGGCUUAGGACCUCCUCAGUAAUAGCCUAAUCAUUGCAAUUAGGCCAAAGAUGAGCCAAGUUCUCCAACCAACAAAACCAGAGAUACUUAGCAAAUUGAUAAUCUCAGAACAAGUGAUGUAUGUACUUUACCUGGCCCAAUGACCCCUAUGUACAUCACUGCAGAUACAACACAAGGAAGACUGUCUGAAAAUGAUGCAUAGUGAUGAAAUUUUCAUGUACAAUUUACCACACCAAAAUGUUUACCUCAGAGAUUUUAACCUUGAUGGAGGAGUAAGCAGGGGUAGUUUGGGGAGGGGAGGGGAAGGUGGGGACAACCACAAACUAUGUAAGAAUGGCAAGAGAACCCCCUGCACAGCCUAGAAUCCCUUCUCCCAUGAAGCACUUGCUGAGCCUGAAGAGAACAGUAAGAAGACCUGCAGUAUCUAAUGCUUGCUCUCUAUUAGACAGAUGAAAUGUGAAACCUAAUGACAGAAGAGGCGGAAGGAUCAAAGCCUGGUAAAAUAUAAGCUAGCAAAUGCUGUUGUUCAAAAUGGCUCACAGAAGAGCUUUAUCAGCCGCCCACCAUGCUUCACAAAAUCCAAUAUUCGAUCCCUCCUCAAGAUAUAGUUUAACAAAUGAGGAAAUAUAUUUCUAACGGAAGCCCAAAAUAUAAUAACAUGUACCGCUCUUGGUUAGCAUUUAAUUAUAUAAUGAUUUCUAAUCCUUCUUGAAGGCUUAAUCGUUCUUUAUGCUAAUUCUUCACACUUUGUACGUCAAAAGCGGUGCAUGUUGUUAUGUUUUAGGUUUGCAUUAGGCUGCUGAUUAUAUUUUCUUUUCAUUUUUUCCCCUUGCUAUGAGUUCAUCUCAAGAAAUAAUUACAGUUGGAAUACUAGCCUGCAAAAGUUGAAUAAAUUUUUUAUUUGAAGUUAACGUCGGGAAACCAUCGCAAACAUAAAACCAUGAUUCACUAAGGCAGGCCCUGUUUGGUAGAGAAUCUGGAUUCUAUUUUAUGUUUUUAAAUUUGUGGAGUUAUGCAAAUAUGUAUUUGUCA